UACAGAGGGUGCAAGCGUUGUUCGGAAUUACUGGGCGUAAAGCGCGCGUAGGCGGACCUGCAAGUCGGGGGUGAAAGCCCGAGGCUCAACCUCGGAACUGCCUUCGAUACUGCGGGUCUCGAGUCCGGGAGAGGUGAGUGGAAUUCCUAGUGUAGAGGUGAAAUUCGUAGAUAUUAGGAAGAACACCAGUGGCGAAGGCGGCUCACUGGCCCGGUACUGACGCUGAGGCGCGAAAGCUAGGGGAGCGAACAGG
RNAcentral lists this ribosomal RNA (253 nucleotides) under uncultured bacterium. RNAcentral describes it as "partial 16S ribosomal RNA". It matches the Rfam family "Bacterial small subunit ribosomal RNA", at positions 524 to 776 of the family's 1533-position model. The record is from RNAcentral.